RNAcentral lists this long non-coding RNA (1057 nucleotides) under Gallus gallus (chicken). Lineage: Eukaryota; Metazoa; Chordata; Aves; Galliformes; Phasianidae. The record is from RNAcentral.
UAAUUCUCCACUUCACACAAAGCACAAGUUGCUGAGUUCAGAUAUGAAGACAAACAGAAGUGGAAUACAAGUGAAGGCAGGUCUAAGAACUACUUCCAGGACUCUGAACUCUAAGCAGUCCCUUCUGCAGUUCAGCAAUUUUAUCUUCUCUUGAGGCUGCAUAAUUCUUUGCUGUCUUUAUGAGAGAAUCGUGACGCUUCUCCAAUCCAGCCUUCAGGUUUUGGUAUAUCUCUUUAGCUUUCAUUUCUUCUUCUUCAGCAUUCUCAUUCAGUUGCUGGAUCUUGAACCUCAUCUGCUGGAUUUCCUUCUGAAUCGCUGUCACUUUAUCAUAAACAACACCCCUCUUUUCCUGAACUCUGUUAAAAUAUUCAAAUACAGUGUGCUUAUAUUGCUCAACAUCUUCACGCUUCUUUUUUAUCCUUAUUUCAGCUGUAGACAGCCUCUCAUGUUUCGCAGUGACCAGUCUCUUCAGGGACAUCUCAUCCGUCUUCCCUUUUUUCAGCUCUAUUUGAGCACUCUCCAGCUGGUCUUCCAGAUUUCUGACCUCUGAUAAUACACUGGCCAGUCUUUCCACGUUUGCUGCCUGUCUUUCCAUCUUCUUCUGAUAUAACUGCACCUCCAAUUGGCAUGAUGGCAGAACUUCAACCAGGUCUCGAUAACCUUCAUAUUUCUCAAUAACCUCUUGCUUGGAUUUCUUGAGUUUCUUAACAGUCUCUUUCAUUAGUUCCUUAUAAUUCUUCAAUUCCUCUGGACUCUCCACAAUCUUUGAUUUCAGCUGCUCUUGUUCUUCUUUCAAAGUAGCCAUUGUCACUUUAAGUUCAUUCAGUUUUCGGGUCCUCUCUGUAAUGUCUGAUUUCUUUUGUGAAAUCACUUCUUGCAAUGCUGCUGUUUUCCGACGAUAGUCAUGGCUUAGAAGUUGCUCCAACUCUUGAAUAUCAUCUGACAGUUGCUUGAACUCUGCUUGCUGUUCAACUGGAACAGUGUUUAGUUUCUCCAGCUUCAUUUCUAACUCCUGAUUUGCUGUCUCCAGCUGUUGGUGUUUCUCCAUAGCAGAUUU